GAUGAACGCUGGCGGCGUGCCUAAUACAUGCCAGUCGAGCGAACGGACGAGAAGCUUGCUUCUCUGAUGUUAGCGGCGGACGGGUGAGUAACACGUGGAUAACCUACCUAUAAGACUGGGAUAACUUCGGGAAACCGGAGCUAAUACCGGAUGAUAUUUUGAACCGCAUGGUUCAAAAGUGAAAGACGGUCUUGCUGUCACUUAUAGAUGGAUCCGCGCUGCAUUAGCUAGUUGGUAAGGUAACGGCUUACCAAGGCAACGAUGCAUAGCCGACCUGAGAGGGUGAUCGGCCACACGGGAACUGAGACAGGGUCCAGACUCCUACGGGAGGCAGCAGUAGGGAAUCUUCCGCAAUGGGCGAAAGCCUGACGGAGCAACGCCGCGUGAGGGAUGAAGGUCUUCGGAUCGUAAAACUCUGUUAUUAGGGAAGAACAUAUGUGUAAGUAACUGUGCACAUCUUGACGGUACCUAAUCAGAAAGCCACGGCUAACUACGUG
Molecule: ribosomal RNA, 497 nt
Filed under: uncultured bacterium
Lineage: Bacteria
Description: partial 16S ribosomal RNA
Rfam family: Bacterial small subunit ribosomal RNA
Source: RNAcentral